CCCAGGUAUUGCCCUAGUAACGGCGAGUGAACAGGCAAGAGCUCAGAUUUGAAAGGCACUUUUGUGCCGUUGUAUUCUGAAGUUAGGGUCCUGAGAAACGAUGCUUAAGUCUUCUGGAAAGGAGCGCCAUGGAGGGUGAUAGCCCCGUCUAGCAUUGACCUCAUAUAGGAUCUUAACAUGGAGUCGAGUUGUUUGGGAAUGCAGCUCAAAUGGGUGGUAUGCUCCAUCUAAAGCUAAAUAUCUGCGAGAGACCGAUAGUAAACAAGUACUGUGAGGGAAAGAUGAAAAGAACUUUGAAAAGAGAGUGAAAAAGUACGUGAAAUUGUUGAAAUGGAAGGGUAGGCCGCUAACCAUGUAGAGCCGUGUUUGGGGGGAAGAUAAAUGCUGUAGAAUGUAGCUCCUCGGAGUAUUAUAGAUGCAGUUCAUAUUCCCACCCGAGCGCGAGGAUCUCAGGUUCUACUAAAUGGUGGUCUACCACCCGUCUUGAAC
RNAcentral lists this ribosomal RNA (489 nucleotides) under Starmerella bacillaris. RNAcentral's name for it is "eukaryotic LSU rRNA". It matches the Rfam family "Eukaryotic large subunit ribosomal RNA", at positions 65 to 659 of the family's 3401-position model. Lineage: Eukaryota; Fungi; Ascomycota; Dipodascomycetes; Dipodascales; Trichomonascaceae. The record is from RNAcentral.